This 78-nucleotide transfer RNA is filed under the name Candidatus Giovannonibacteria bacterium RIFCSPHIGHO2_01_FULL_45_24. RNAcentral describes it as "tRNA-Asp". It matches the Rfam family "tRNA". Rfam says of the family: Transfer RNA (tRNA) molecules are approximately 80 nucleotides in length. Their secondary structure includes four short double-helical elements and three loops (D, anti-codon, and T loops). Lineage: Bacteria; Candidatus Giovannoniibacteriota. RNAcentral also lists the same sequence under 1 other name. The record is from RNAcentral.
GCAGCCGUAGUGUAGCCCGGUUAACACGCCUCCCUGUCACGGAGGAGAUCGUGGGUUCAAAUCCCAUCGGCUGCGCCC